CGUGAAGAAAGAAGGAUACAAUUUGGCAAGGUAAUUACUGCCAGAGUACACACAAUGGAGGAGCAGGCGAUUGUCUCGCUGGUAUUUACAUGGCCACUUUUAUCUGAGGGCAGUGUAGAUGAUUAUCCAUGUUCAGACUUGAAAGGUUGCCAAAGGGCACAACUGCAGAGGCGAGCCUGUGAGUCUUCUCAUUCAUCCUCUGGUGACAUCGCUUCUCAUUGCAGAAUUCUUGUCACGUGCCUUUAUUUAAUGUCACGAUAUCUAUGCAUACAGUAUGUUUUCCAGUGUCUCACUCACACAUGCUCACAGAGGCAUCGAAUAUGGCUGACCAUCUCUCGCCUGCAAUGAGGGCAUGAUUGAAAAAGUUUCGGAUCGGGAUCGACACUCGGGGCAGAAGCUCUUUGAGUCCGGCCCGAUAUUCUCGGCGGAUGAGGCAGUAGAGGACCGGGUUGAGGCAGCUGUUUGCCUGGGCCAGGCACACGCUCAGUGGGAAGGCAUAGGCCUGCGCGUUGUAGAAGGCUUUAUUGAAGGGCACCAUGUCCAACUUGAUCAACACGCCCCAAAGCGUCAGAGCCUGGUUGGGCAGCCAGCAGACGAAGAAGGACAAAACUACGAUGGUGACGGAGCGGGUGACUUUGGAGCGGCGGCGAUGGCGACCACGCUCGCAUUCGGAUCUGUCUGCCAUGGCCCCGCCGAUGGCACUGCCCACCACGCGCCGGCUCAGGAUGAACUUCAAGAGGAGGAGAGCCCAAGGAGUACUUGAGGAUCCAAGCGACUGGAAUCGGAUUCGGAGAACCUCACAAGGCAGAGCUCAUCGUCGGCAGACACCUGUGAACGCAACCAUUUGGUGGUCUAAAUCUCAAUUGUCACAAAAAAAAAAAAACUGUACUGCUACAGCAUGUGAGUACUUGUCAACAAACCUGAACAGUGGUGGAGUAGAUGGAAUGCGGCAAGGUGGCAACCAGUGAAACCACCCAAAUAGCCAAACUGGCCCACUUGGCUCGAACAGCCGCCCGCCUCGGGCUGGCGAUCUUCAGAGAGGUGACCAACGAGUGGUAGCGGGUCACGCUCAUGGCGGGCCAGCGGAAGUCCAGGACCGUGUCCACGGCCCAGAAGGGCAAGGUGAGGACAAACUGGAGGUCGGUGAGCGCCAGGCUCAUCACAAAACAGUCGAUGGAGGAGUGGUGGUGACCUCGGUGACGGAAGUGAAGCAGGAAGAGUGCCAGGAGGUUCCCCACAAGACCCAGGACACAUACCACCAGGAACACCAGCACUAUAUGAAGAUCAGAUGCAGAUUAAACAGAUUGGAGCCUGCACACUUACCGCCGUGUUGGCAGCGUCUCCGUGCAGAUCCACUGAAGAUUCCCUGGAGAGGAUAUGGAGCCAGCAGUUGAGGGACAGGUUC
Long non-coding RNA from Syngnathus acus (greater pipefish), 1405 nucleotides. RefSeq lists it as uncharacterized. The record is from RefSeq and is a predicted model, not a curated record. The transcript is spliced from 5 exons. Lineage: Eukaryota; Metazoa; Chordata; Actinopteri; Syngnathiformes; Syngnathidae.